GAUGAACGCUGGCGGCGUGCCUAAUACAUGCAAGUCGAGCGAACAGACGAGGAGCUUGCUCCUCUGACGUUAGCGGCGGACGGGUGAGUAACACGUGGAUAACCUACCUAUAAGACUGGGAUAACUUCGGGAAACCGGAGCUAAUACCGGAUAAUAUAUUGAACCGCAUGGUUCAAUAGUGAAAGACGGUUUUGCUGUCACUUAUAGAUGGAUCCGCGCCGCAUUAGCUAGUUGGUAAGGUAACGGCUUACCAAGGCAACGAUGCGUAGCCGACCGGAGAGGGUGAUCGGCCACACUGGAACUGAGACACGGUACAGACUCCUACGGGAGGCAGCAGUAGGGAAUCUUCCGCCAUGGGCGAAAGCCUGACGGAGCAACGCCGCGUGAGUGAUGAAGGUCUUCGGAUCGUAAAACUCUGUUAUUAGGGAAGAACAAAUGUGUAAGUAACUAUGCACGUCUUGACGGUACCUAAUCAGAAAGCCACGGCUAACUACGUG
RNAcentral lists this ribosomal RNA (497 nucleotides) under uncultured bacterium. RNAcentral describes it as "partial 16S ribosomal RNA". It matches the Rfam family "Bacterial small subunit ribosomal RNA", at positions 28 to 507 of the family's 1533-position model. The record is from RNAcentral.